GUAAAUAAUUAAGGGCGUAUGGUGGAUGCCUAGGCUCUCAGAGGCGAAGAAGGACGUGAUAAGCUGCGAAAAGCUCCGUUUAGGUGCAAAUAACCUUUGAUGCGGAGAUCUCCGAAUGGGAUAACCCAAUAUGUUGAAGACAUAUUAUACCGUAAGGUAGGCAAACGCAGGGAACUGAAACAUCUAAGUACCUGCAGGAGAAGAAAACAAACGUGAUUCCCCCAGUAGCGGCGAGCGACCGGGGAUAAGCCCAAACCGUUAUUGUUUCGGCAGUAGCGGGGUAGUAGGACUGCGACAUUGAUGAAAUAAAUGAAAUGGAACACCUUGGAAAAUGUGAUCACAGAGGGUGAUAAUCCCGUACAUGCAAGUUUAUGAAUCAUAGCAGUAUCCUGAGUAAGUCGGGACACGUGUAAUCCUGACCGAAUCCGCCGGGACCAUCCGGCAAGGCUAAAUACUCCUGAGAGACCGAUAGUGAACCAGUACCGUGAGGGAAAGGUGAAAAGCACUUCGAACAGAAGAGUGAAAUAGUCCCUGAACCCAUACGCCUACAAGCUGUCGGAGCCGCUUCGUGCGGUGACGGCGUGCCUUUUGCAUAAUGAGCCUACGAGUUACUCAUCACCAGCGAGGUUAAGUACUUCAGGUACGUAAGCCGAAGCGAAAGCGAGUCUGAAUAGGGCGUCAAGUUGGUGGUGGUAGACGCGAAACCUUAGUGAUCUACCCAUGGGCAGGGUGAAGGUUUGGUAACACAAACUGGAGGCCCGAACCGGUAAACGUUGAAAAGUUUUCGGAUGACCUGUGGGUAGGGGUGAAAGGCCAAUCAAACUGGGAAAUAGCUCGUACUCUCCGAAAUGCAUUUAGGUGCAGCCUCUGUUGUUUUGUUCUAGAGGUAGAGCUACUGAUUGGAUGCGAGGGCUUCACCGCCUAUCAAAUCCGGCCAAACUCCGAAUGCUAGAACAUGAAGACAGGGAGUGAGCCAGCGGGUGCUAAGGUCCGUUGACGAAAGAGGGAGAACUCAGACCAUCAGCUAAGGUCCCCAAUUAUAUGCUAAGUUGGAAUUAAAACGGGGUGGGACUGCUUAGACAGCUAGGAUGUUGGCUUGGAAGCAGCCAUUCAUUUAAAGAGUGCGUAACAGCUCACUAGUCGAGCGGUCCUGCAUGGAUAAUACGCGGGCAUAAGCAUAUAACCGAAGCUAUGGGAUUGUAGAUGAUACAAUCGGUAGGAGAGCAUUCCAUUCAGCGUAGAAGCAGUAUCGUGAGGUAUUGUGGAGCGGAUGGAAAAGCAAAUGUAGGCAUAAGUAACGAUAAUGCGGGUGAGAACCCCGCACGCCGAAAGAUCAAGGAUUCCCCGGCAAUGUCAAUCAUCCGGGGGUAAGUCGGAUCCUAAGGGUAAGCCGAGUGGCGAUCCCGAUGGCAAACAGGUUAAUAUUCCUGUACUGAUCAUAACUGCGAUGCAGCGACGCAGAGGUGACACUGCUGCGUACUGACGGAAUAGUACGUUGAAACCCGUAUUCUUUGAUACCGGUAGUGAAGCACGCCGGUAGAGAUGAAAGGUGAUAGUACCGCAAUGCUUCGGUUGCGCGGAUAAUGCAGGUAAGCUGACUGCCAAGAAAACCUGCUAAGCUUCAGGUAAUGAUCAUCCGUACUGUAAACGGACACACGUGAUCAGGUAGAAAAUACUAAGGCGCUCGAGAGAUUCAUGGUUAAGGAACUAGGCAAAAUGGUCCUGUAACUUCGGGAUAAAGGACGCUCUUGUGAAAGAGCCGCAGAUAAUAGGCCCAGGCGACUGUUUACCAAAAACACAUGGCUAUGCUAAUUCGCAAGAAGAUGUAUAUGGCCUGACACCUGCCCGGUGCCGGAAGGUUAAGAGGAGAGCUCAGAGGUAACUCGAAGGUUUGAAUUGAAGCCCCGGUAAACGGCGGCCGUAACUAUAACGGUCCUAAGGUAGCGAAAUUCCUUGUCGGGU
This 1962-nucleotide ribosomal RNA is filed under the name human gut metagenome. RNAcentral's name for it is "bacterial LSU rRNA". It matches the Rfam family "Bacterial large subunit ribosomal RNA", at positions 1 to 1977 of the family's 2925-position model. The record is from RNAcentral.